GGUUUUCAUGCAUAGUUUUAUGGUUUUGGAUGAUGUUCUUACCAUCCAUAACCAUAUUAAAACUUUUAAAACCCUAGACUUGUCUAGGAGAUUUCCAUCACCUUUUUCAUUAAAGUCUUUUAAGCCAAAACCAAGUGACAUGCAAAUUUGGAUUUUUCUACCUUGCAUUAAAUUAAAGCAAGAUGGGUGAGACUUCCCAUCUCCCCUUAAUGUGGCCGGCCACCCUAGUGGAUUUAUCCACUUGGGGGUCUUUUGUAAUUUGGAAAAAGAUAUUUUAUACUUUUGAGUAUUUACGGUUUGACCCCUAACUUUUUCUUAUUUGCAUUUAGGCCCCUACUAACUAGAAAGUUAAAAUAUUUGAUUUUAAUUUUGUUAGUUGUUUAAACUCAUAAUUCUAUUAUGCCCAUAUGCACUAAAUCUAAAUGUUCAUGUUGCAUUCCAUUUUGAUUAUUUAAUGUGAUUAAGUAGUUAGAAAAGGGUGACUAUGGACUUAUGCCUUAAACGAUAAUUGAGCUAUAAGAUAAGGCGCUAAAAUCAAAUUGUUUGAACCUUGGGAAUGUGUUUUAAUUACUGUUUUUGUGGACCUUGU
Molecule: long non-coding RNA, 589 nt
Filed under: Malus domestica (apple)
Lineage: Eukaryota; Viridiplantae; Streptophyta; Magnoliopsida; Rosales; Rosaceae
Description: long non-coding RNA (MDOM_LNC005703)
Source: RNAcentral